UACGUAGGGGGCAAGCGUUAUCCGGAUUUACUGGGUGUAAAGGGAGCGUAGACGGUUAUGCAAGUCAGAAGUGAAAGCCCAAAGCUCAACUUCGGGACUGCUUUUGAAACUGUGUAACUAGAGUGCAGGAGGGGUGAGCGGAAUUCCUAGUGUAGCGGUGAAAUGCGUAGAUAUUAGGAGGAACACCGGCGGCGAAGGCGGCUUACUGGACUGUAACUGACGUUGAGGCUCGAAAGCGUGGGGAGCAAACAGG
This 253-nucleotide ribosomal RNA is filed under the name uncultured bacterium. Its description in RNAcentral is "partial 16S ribosomal RNA". It matches the Rfam family "Bacterial small subunit ribosomal RNA", at positions 524 to 776 of the family's 1533-position model. The record is from RNAcentral.